Molecule: ribosomal RNA, 416 nt
Filed under: uncultured bacterium
Lineage: Bacteria
Description: bacterial SSU rRNA
Rfam family: Bacterial small subunit ribosomal RNA
Source: RNAcentral
UGGGGAAUAUUGGGCAAUGGGCGAAAGCCUGACCCAGCAACGCCGCGUGAAGGAAGAAGGCCCUCGGGUUGUAAACUUCUUUUGUCAGGGACGAAGCAAGUGACGGUACCUGACGAAUAAGCCACGGCUAACUACGUGCCAGCAGCCGCGGUAAUACGUAGGUGGCAAGCGUUAUCCGGAUUUACUGAGUGUAAAGGGCGUGUAGCGGGAGUGCAAGUCAGAUGUGAAAACUAUGGGCUCAACCCAUAGCCUGCAUUUGAAACUGUACUUCUUGAGUGAUGGAGAGGCAGGCGGAAUUCCCUGUGUAGCGGUGAAAUGCGUAGAUAUAGGGAGGAACACCAGUGGCGAAGGCGGCCUGCUGGACAUUAACUGACGCUGAGGCGCGAAAGCGUGGGGAGCAAACAGGAUUAGAUACC